RNAcentral lists this ribosomal RNA (225 nucleotides) under uncultured bacterium. Its description in RNAcentral is "partial 16S ribosomal RNA". It matches the Rfam family "Bacterial small subunit ribosomal RNA", at positions 91 to 334 of the family's 1533-position model. The record is from RNAcentral.
CUUAGUGGCGGACGGGUGAGUAACGCGUGAGAAUCUACCUUCAGGACGGAGACAACAGUUGGAAACGACUGCUAACCCCCGAUGUACCGAAAGGGCAAAUAUUUAUAGCCUGAAGAAGAGCUCGCGUCCGAUUAGCUAGUUGGAGAGGUAAAAGCUCACCAAGGCGACGAUCGGUAGCUGAUCUGAGAGGACGAUCAGCCACACUGGGACUGAGACACGGCCCAG